AAAACUUUCAACAACGGAUCUCUUGGCUCUCGCAUCGAUGAAGAACGCAGCGAAAUGCGAUAAGUAAUGUGAAUUGCAGAAUUCAGUGAAUCAUCGAAUCUUUGAACGCACCUUGCGCUCUUUGGUAUUCCGAAGAGCAUGCCUGUUUGAGUGUCAU
RNAcentral lists this ribosomal RNA (157 nucleotides) under Solicoccozyma terrea. RNAcentral's name for it is "5.8S ribosomal RNA". It matches the Rfam family "5.8S ribosomal RNA". From Rfam's summary of the family: 5.8S ribosomal RNA (5.8S rRNA) is a component of the large subunit of the eukaryotic ribosome. The record is from RNAcentral. Lineage: Eukaryota; Fungi; Basidiomycota; Tremellomycetes; Filobasidiales; Piskurozymaceae.